This 549-nucleotide ribosomal RNA is filed under the name uncultured Anaplasma sp. Its description in RNAcentral is "bacterial SSU rRNA". It matches the Rfam family "Bacterial small subunit ribosomal RNA", at positions 137 to 720 of the family's 1533-position model. Lineage: Bacteria; Pseudomonadati; Pseudomonadota; Alphaproteobacteria; Rickettsiales; Anaplasmataceae. The record is from RNAcentral.
UAUGGGAUAGCCACUAGAAAUGGUGGGUAAUACUGUAUAAUCCCCGCGGGGGAAAGAUUUAUCGCUAUUAGAUGAGCCUAUGUUAGAUUAGCUAGUUGGUAGGGUAAAGGCCUACCAAGGCAGUGAUCUAUAGCUGGUCUGAGAGGAUGAUCAGCCACACUGGAACUGAGAUACGGUCCAGACUCCUACGGGAGGCAGCAGUGGGGAAUAUUGGACAAUGGGCGCAAGCCUGAUCCAGCUAUGCCGCGUGAGUGAGGAAGGCCUUAGGGUUGUAAAACUCUUUCAGUGGGGAAGAUAAUGACGGUACCCACAGAAGAAGUCCCGGCAAACUCCGUGCCAGCAGCCGCGGUAAUACGGAGGGGGCAAGCGUUGUUCGGAAUUAUUGGGCGUAAAGGGCAUGUAGGCGGUUCGGUAAGUUAAAGGUGAAAUGCCAGGGCUUAACCCUGGAGCUGCUUUUAAUACUGCCAGACUCGAGUCCGGGAGAGGAUAGCGGAAUUCCUAGUGUAGAGGUGAAAUUCGUAGAUAUUAGGAGGAACACCAGUGGCGAAG